CACAUGCAAGUCGAACGGCAGCGGGAAGUAGUUUACUACUUUGCCGGCGAGCGGCGGACGGGUGAGUAAUGUCUGGGGAUCUGCCUGAUGGAGGGGGAUAACUACUGGAAACGGUAGCUAAUACCGCAUGACCUCGUAAGAGCAAAGUGGGGGACCUUCGGGCCUCACGCCAUCGGAUGAACCCAGAUGGGAUUAGCUAGUAGGUGGGGUAAUGGCUCACCUAGGCGACGAUCCCUAGCUGGUCUGAGAGGAUGACCAGCCACACUGGAACUGAGACACGGUCCAGACUCCUACGGGAGGCAGCAGUGGGGAAUAUUGCACAAUGGGCGCAAGCCUGAUGCAGCCAUGCCGCGUGUGUGAAGAAGGCCUUCGGGUUGUAAAGCACUUUCAGCGAGGAGGAAGGCAGUCGUGUUAAUAGCACGAUUGAUUGACGUUACU
This 438-nucleotide ribosomal RNA is filed under the name Yersinia bercovieri. RNAcentral describes it as "bacterial SSU rRNA". It matches the Rfam family "Bacterial small subunit ribosomal RNA", at positions 52 to 479 of the family's 1533-position model. The record is from RNAcentral. Lineage: Bacteria; Pseudomonadati; Pseudomonadota; Gammaproteobacteria; Enterobacterales; Yersiniaceae.